ACAAAAAUUUGGUUCCCAUACUGCUUUUAAGGCCAUCCUCUGCACUUGGUUCCCGCUGCUCCUGAUGUGGUUGAAAGAUGGAUGACCCCAAAGACGAGGAAAAGAUUAUUGGCUCCAUUUUUUAGAUGCGGCAGCCAGCUAAGGUCUAGACAGGGGAAGGGACUUGCCCCAAAUCACAGUUAGAGCAAAUCAGUCUGAAUCAGGAAUAACUCCAUUCCUAUCCCGCAUCCUGCCCUUUCACUACGCCACAGCUGCCUGGCUGCCUGGAGGAACAAAGGAGGGCCGGGCAAGAACGCCAUUACCAACUGCAAAUCCACAGGCAAAUGCAAGAGGACAGAAAUCCCAAGAACCCAGCCCCUAAGCCUUCAGCUCUGUCCCAGGUCUGCCUCUCCUCCAGGCCCUCAGGACGCAGGCUCCAAGCCUUCGACUGCCCAGAUCCCCCAUUCCCUCCAAGACCCAGGAGUCCAGCCUUCUGGCCUCUCUCACCUCAGCUUCCAGCAGUUCUGGAACAGGCUCCUCCUUGGUCAGCAUUGGGGGUUCGUCGGUGCUGCCAGCAGUUAUGCCCCCGGGAUCUGGAACGUCAAGGCGCUGCGAAUACGAGUGGGUCUCCACCACCAGAAUGGCUAAAGUGAAAAAGACCGCACCGUGUGGAGGCGAGAAAGUAGAGCGACUGGACCUCUCUUGUAUUUCUGGGGGAGUGUAAAUUGGUAGAGACAUUUUGGAAAACUGGCAGUUUUCUAAUGAAGCCGAACAUAUGCCACCUCUGUGAUCCAGCAGUUCCACUCCUAGGCUGUCAACACCCAGCAGAAAUGUGUAGGUGUGAGCAUCAAGAGGGUGCAUGGGAAUGUUCAGAGCCCUUUCAUAACAGCCCCAAACUGGAAAUAACCCAUCAACAGAAUGGAAAAUGAAUGAUGCCCUACUCACUACCAUGCACAUAGACACAGCAACGGGAUUGACAUGCCCGGCUACACACAGCAACAUAGACAAGUCGCAUGAUGAAAUCUUGAGUGACAGAAGCCAAAUGCAACAGUACAUACUAGAUGGUUCCAGGUGUAUUACGUUCAGAACCAGACAAAACUAAUUUAUAGUGCACCAAAGUCAAGAUAGUGAUCGCCCUUAGGGUUGGGAGGGGACGAGGGGAGAGCUUCUGGGAGCUGAUCCAGUUCUGUUGUGUAAUCUGGUGCUGGUUCCCUGGGCAUAUGUAUUCUGUGAAAAUCCAUCACAUGACUUAAAUAAAAUGUACAUUACUUAAAUAAAA
RNAcentral lists this long non-coding RNA (1258 nucleotides) under Homo sapiens (human). RNAcentral's name for it is "MIR762 host gene". Lineage: Eukaryota; Metazoa; Chordata; Mammalia; Primates; Hominidae. The record is from RNAcentral.